UUAAGUUAUUAAGGGCGCACGGUGGAUGCCUUGGCACUAGAAGCCGAUGAAGGACGUUACUAACGACGAUAUGUUUUGGGGAGCUGUAAGUAAGCGUUGAUCCAGAGAUUUCCGAAUGGGGAAACCCAGCAUGAGUUAUGUCAUGUUAUCGAUAUGUGAAUACAUAGCAUAUCAGAAGGCAGACCCGGAGAACUGAAACAUCUUAGUACCCGGAGGAAGAGAAAGAAAAAUCGAUUCCCUGAGUAGCGGCGAGCGAAACGGGAAGAGCCCAAACCAACAAGCUUGCUUGUUGGGGUUGUAGGACACUCUAUACGGAGUUACAAAAGUAUAUAUUAGACGAAUCAUCUGGAAAGUUGAAUCAAAGAAGGUAAUAAUCCUGUAGUCGAAAAUAUAUACUCUCUUGAGUGGAUCCUGAGUACGACGGAGCACGUGAAAUUCCGUCGGAAUCUGGGAGGACCAUCUCCUAAGGCUAAAUACUCUCUAGUGACCGAUAGUGAACCAGUACCGUGAGGGAAAGGUGAAAAGUACCCCGGAAGGGGAGUGAAAGAGAACUUGAAACCGUGUGCUUACAAGUAGUCAGAGCCCGUUAAUGGGUGAUGGCGUGCCUUUUGUAGAAUGAACCGGCGAGUUACGAUUUGAUGCAAGGUUAAGCAGCUAAUGUGGAGCCGUAGCGAAAGCGAGUCUGAAUAGGGCGUUUAGUAUUUGGUCGUAGACCCGAAACCAGGUGAUCUACCCUUGGUCAGGUUGAAGUUCAGGUAACACUGAAUGGAGGACCGAACCGACUUACGUUGAAAAGUGAGCGGAUGAACUGAGGGUAGCGGAGAAAUUCCAAUCGAACUUGGAGAUAGCUGGUUCUCUCCGAAAUAGCUUUAGGGCUAGCCUCAAGUGAUGAUUAUUGGAGGUAGAGCACUGUUUGGACGAGGGGCCCUUCUCGGGUUACCGAAUUCAGACAAACUCCGAAUGCCAAUCAAUUUAACUUGGGAGUCAGAACAUGGGUGAUAAGGUCCGUGUUCGAAAGGGAAACAGCUCAGACCACCAGCUAAGGUCCCAAAAUAUAUGUUAAGUGGAAAAGGAUGUGGCGUUGCCCAGACAACUAGGAUGUUGGCUUAGAAGCAGCCAUCAUUUAAAGAGUGCGUAAUAGCUCACUAGUCGAGUGACACUGCGCCGAAAAUGUACCGGGGCUAAACAUAUUACCGAAGCUGUGGAUUGUCCGUAGGACAAUGGUAGGAGAGCGUUCUAAGGGCGUCGAAGCAUGAUCGCAAGGACAUGUGGAGCGCUUAGAAGUGAGAAUGCCGGUGUGAGUAGCGAAAGACGGGUGAGAAUCCCGUCCACCGAUUGACUAAGGUUUCCAGAGGAAGGCUCGUCCGCUCUGGGUUAGUCGGGUCCUAAGCUGAGGCCGACAGGCGUAGGCGAUGGAUAACAGGUUGAUAUUCCUGUACCACCUAGUAUCGUUUUAAUCGAUGGGGGGACGCAGUAGGAUAGGCGAAGCGUGCUAUUGGAUUGCACGUCCAAGCAGUAAGACUGAGUGUUAGGCAAAUCCGGCACUCAUAAGGUCAAGCUGUGAUGGGGAGAGGAAAUUGCUUCCUCGAGUCGUUGAUUUCACACUGCCAAGAAAAGCCUCUAGAUAGAUAACAGGUGCCCGUACCGCAAACCGACACAGGUAGUCAAGAUGAGAAUUCUAAGGUGAGCGAGCGAACUCUCGUUAAGGAACUCGGCAAAAUGACCCCGUAACUUCGGGAGAAGGGGUGCUCUUUAGGGUUAACGCCCAGAAGAGCCGCAGUGAAUAGGCCCAAGCGACUGUUUAUCAAAAACACAGGUCUCUGCUAAACCGUAAGGUGAUGUAUAGGGGCUGACGCCUGCCCGGUGCUGGAAGGUUAAGAGGAGUAGUUAGCUUCUGCGAAGCUACGAAUCGAAGCCCCAGUAAACGGCGGCCGUAACUAUAACGGUCCUAAGGUAGCGAAAUUCCUUGUCGGGUAAGUUCCGACCCGCACGAAAGGCGUAACGAUUUGGGCACUGUCUCAACGAGAGACUCGGUGAAAUCAUAGUACCUGUGAAGAUGCAGGUUACCCGCGACAGGACGGAAAGACCCCGUGGAGCUUUACUGUAGCCUGAUAUUGAAAUUCGGCACAGCUUGUACAGGAUAGGUAGGAGCCUUUGAAACGUGAGCGCUAGCUUACGUGGAGGCAUUGGUGGGAUACUACCCUAGCUGUGUUGGCUUUCUAACCCGCACCACUUAUCGUGGUGGGAGACAGUGUCAGGUGGGCAGUUUGACUGGGGCGGUCGCCUCCUAAAAGGUAACGGAGGCGCUCAAAGGUUCCCUCAGAAUGGUUGGAAAUCAUUCAUAGAGUGUAAAGGCAUAAGGGAGCUUGACUGCGAGACUUACAAGUCGAGCAGGGUCGAAAGACGGACUUAGUGAUCCGGUGGUUCCGCAUGGAAGGGCCAUCGCUCAACGGAUAAAAGCUACCCCGGGGAUAACAGGCUUAUCUCCCCCAAGAGUUCACAUCGACGGGGAGGUUUGGCACCUCGAUGUCGGCUCAUCGCAUCCUGGGGCUGUAGUCGGUCCCAAGGGUUGGGCUGUUCGCCCAUUAAAGCGGUACGCGAGCUGGGUUCAGAACGUCGUGAGACAGUUCGGUCCCUAUCCGUCGUGGGCGUAGGAAAUUUGAGAGGAGCUGUCCUUAGUACGAGAGGACCGGGAUGGACAUACCUCUGGUGUACCAGUUGUCGUGCCAACGGCAUAGCUGGGUAGCUAUGUAUGGACGGGAUAAGUGCUGAAAGCAUCUAAGCAUGAAGCCCCCCUCAAGAUGAGAUUUCCCAACUUCGGUUAUAAGAUCCCUCAAAGAUGAUGAGGUUAAUAGGUUCGAGGUGGAAGCGUGGUGACACGUGGAGCUGACGAAUACUAAUCGAUCGAAGACUUAAUCAA
Molecule: ribosomal RNA, 2920 nt
Filed under: Staphylococcus warneri
Lineage: Bacteria; Bacillati; Bacillota; Bacilli; Caryophanales; Staphylococcaceae
Description: 23S ribosomal RNA
Rfam family: Bacterial large subunit ribosomal RNA
Source: RNAcentral